CGUCAUUCACCUCUUUUCUCUCAUUUCACACGCAUUCACUCUCCUCUCCUCUCCUCCAUCAAUCUUCCCCAUUCAAUUGGUGAUGAAACAAGGCGAGAAAAAUGGCGAUAUGGGACGAGGAGAGAGAAAAAAUGGUGAAAUUGGGGGUUUUGAUGAUUUUUAGAUCGGAGGGUUUAUUGAUUUUGCUCUAAGGCUUCUCCAUUCUCCAACUCGCUGGAUCUAGCUUAGUCAACUCAGCUUUCCUCCUUUUUAACUUUUUCUUCAUCAAACCCUGGUUCCCACGCCAAUUUCUACUCCUCUUCGAUGAUCGGUCAUCAGGUCAACGUCAAUGAGUUCCUCGAUUUUCUCUGGGGCGAAUCUGUGUAGAGUUACAUUGAUCAUUAUGCUAGUUUUGUCUGAAAUUGCUCCUCCAUGAGAUGUUCAUAUUGCAGGCGCCUUUGUGAUUUUGACCCUAUGUCUUUCAUUAUACCUUGUCUUUGAGCACCACUCUACAUAUAAAGAAUCCAGAGGAGCAAAAAUAUCUGAUUGGAGUCGUCUUAAUGGUACACGCUAUUCUAUUGAAUCGGUAAGGUCCAACAAUGGGUGAACUUUGUGUGAUACAACUAUCACUGUCUUGAUUAAUGCUUAAUACAAAAAAAAUAAAAAAAAUAAAAAACAGUGAACAUAUGAAACCCCUUUGGCUGAUAAAAAACAGAACUAAUAAUUCGAGCUCUAACAGUACCAAUACCGAUGAGUUCACUAGUGUUUUUGCAUAGGCAGAGACUGAUAAAUUUUAGCAGUCAUUUCCCCCUUUUUUUUUCCCUUAUUGUGCUUGCUUUAUGAGCUCCAACUGGUAUGUAAUUUUUGCUAGUGAUUUAUAUUGAUCAUCUUAGUCCUUAGAUUUCUAUAUGUACAAGCUUGUUACUUUACCCCUGAAAAUAAAGAGAGAAAAAGAACAAAAAUAUAUAUGUGGCAUACUUAGGGGCUGGGGUACCGAAUGAUAUGGGGUGCUGGUUUACAGGUUUUAAGUUUGGAGGGAUUUUUGCUGAGAUUUGCUAUUGAAAUUUAUAACAUAACAAAUUUUUCAGGUUAUUAUGGUUCAAUAUGACACUAGUAAAAAAAGAAAGGUUGGUGCAUAUAAAUACUUCCUGCAGCUUCUUUUUUUUUAAAAAUUUUUUGUUUUUAACUUGUUUUUUUUUUAUAUCUCUUAUUGUAGCUCAUACAUAAACAUCAUCCAUUAUAUCGGUAUGUAUCCGAUAAUCGUUGUGCAUACAUGGAGAUUUUCUUGGCCUCCAUUUGUUUUUAUGGUGAUGAUUGUUGCAAAGGCUUCACAAGAAAGAUCGAGGCUUGUGAUGAAGAUGAAGAUUUUGUUAUGUUUGACGGAACCUUGGGAUAUCACAAUUCUCAUGAAACCGUAUAUCUAACGGGGCCUAGACGUAGUUAUCGCGGUGAUUAUUUUUAAAUUGACGUCAACCUCAAGGAUGGCGAGGGUCGUGAAAUAAGUUGUGGGGUGUGGGAUAUGAUUUCAGCAACGCAUAUGUAUUUUAUAAUAUGCGCUUGUGUUCAAUAAUCCGGGGCAAACAUGGUUCUAAGGAAAAAAAAAUUGUUUUUUUUUUUUUUUUU
RNA transcript from Chenopodium quinoa (quinoa), 1602 nucleotides. RefSeq lists it as uncharacterized. The record is from RefSeq and is a predicted model, not a curated record. NCBI's taxonomy places the organism in Eukaryota, Viridiplantae, Streptophyta, Magnoliopsida, Caryophyllales, Amaranthaceae. The transcript is spliced from 4 exons.